Cimex lectularius (bed bug) is the source of this 2339-nucleotide long non-coding RNA. RefSeq lists it as uncharacterized. The transcript is spliced from 3 exons. The record is from RefSeq and is a predicted model, not a curated record. Lineage: Eukaryota; Metazoa; Arthropoda; Insecta; Hemiptera; Cimicidae.
AAAUUUAUGUCGGUGGUCUCACAUUUGUUGUCUACUAAAGUUUCUGUGAUGUUGCAGCAUUUUCUUAUAAAUGGAACUUCAGAUCCUUCAGCUAGGUUAUUAUAAAACAGAAAUGUGAUGUCAUGUCACGCCUUGAUAUUUGCUUAUUGAAAUUCAAACAAUUCCUAGAAUUAAGUUUGUAUUUAGUCACUCGACACUUACCAAACAAGAUUGUUGAAACAACAACAACGAGCUUUCCGAUGGGAAGUCUAUUCAUGACUGAAUUACUUACGCUCAACCACUGCUUAUCUUGCACUGAUAUAGGUACUUAUCAAGUUUACUCUUCUAUCCUGCAUCCACAAUUUACUAAACAGAGAGACAAAACCUUUUUUUUAACAAUUAAUAUUAAUCAAUUGUAUUAAAGUUAACAUUAAUUGUUAAUUUGUAUAAUUAUUAAUUACACAAAUAUAUGUGAUUGCUUGGCCCGAGGCUCCUUAGUGUACAAAUAUAUAAUUCCUGCCAUCCAGGAGGGCUUAACAUUGAACUACCCAUUCAGUGCUGUGGAGGAGGAGUCAAACUAUUUUACAAUAUAUUUUUCAUUGUCAAUUAAAAAGUCAUGGGUUGUGCCAGAAUACCAACCAAGAAUUGGUAGCAAGGCAAAUAAAUACAAAUCAGAUACCGUAACCACUUGGCCACUCUGGUCUCCAUGGAACCAAUGUAUACAUAUUGUUCAUCCAGAGUGCUUAAUGUCCAAAUACCUGUUGAGUGUCGGGUGUAUUCCAGGAUUCAAACCCAGGACCUCUAGCAUGGCUAAUAUGAGUCAGUCGGACACUCUAUCCACUCGGCCACCUUCGUCCCCCUGAUAUCAAUAAUGUAUAAGAGAACUAAUAAAUGAUAAUAAAUUGAAAUGAGACUGAUAAUGAAGAUGAAAACUUUUUUAUUAUGGUGGUUUUUAUAUAUGUUUCUGGAAAAACAUAACAGAAAAGUUUAUUCAAACCGGUUCACAUUAGAAACACAAAAUAUUGUUUUUGUUGAUACCUCUCUAGACCAACUACACCUUUUUUAAAUUAUUUCUGCUAUCAAUUGAAGCAGUUUGUGUAAAUUUUACUAAUAAGAAAAUUAAAGAAACCAUUUCUAAGAAUUGUAAUACAAUACCUACACAAAAUGCUUACAGAAUUACACUAGACAGCAAGGUAAAUGUUACAAAAAAAAAACGUAAGACCUUCUUAGCUUUUAAGCAUUCCAAACGCCAGUACACAACAAAGUACUUAUGUAAAACUAGAUAUUACAAUCAUAAUGGACAUACACAGUUAUUAGGAUGUCCCAAAAAACCUAAAAAUUGCAAAUUUCCAAAGAUCUACAAAACAUGGUUUACACACCAUGGUAUAUUCACAAUAACGACCUGAACCAGGACCGUGAUAGCUGAAAUUGCAAAAGCAAAACUAGAUGCAGAUACAAUAUUCGGGAUGUGAAUGUAUUGUCCUUUAAAAGCUAUUGUAUCCUGUCCUCUCCUUAUAGAACACCAUUGAUGUUAAUCCAUCCAGAAAUUUGAUUAGUAGGCCUGGUUUCAGUGGUUGAAUUUCUUUUAUUUUGUGGUUUCCAAAUGCAGUUCCUCCUGCAGGCAAAUGUGCCACAGUUUGUUAGUAGUUGUGUGUGUUGGUGUCUCCUACUUCCUUGCAUAAUCUAACCAUACUGUGUUGGAUUAUACCAUUUUUCCUGAAAUGCCUAUUCUCUCAAUGUCCUGUUAAUAAUUCUGUUAGGAGUUAAAGUUUUCCUGCUUCCUUUGAUGCAUGCACUCUGUUGUUUCUUUCCUUCCAAAAAUCGCAUGAAGGUUGUUGGAUUAGUUAUGUUCAAUGAGUGAAUUCUACUGUUUCCUCAUUUUCAUCCUGUCUUUUAAGAUACGCUUUGAUAGUGUGAAAUCCAUAUGCUUACAUUAGCUGUUCUUGUACCCAUGGUUCAGUUGAACUGAGUACAUCACUCAAUUGAAUGAACUUCAGCCCGGAAGAUACUACAGUAUUUUCUUAUGGGUUUUGAGUAUUUGGCUCCAGGACUCCUACUCCAUACCUACUUUUGUUCUAGAUCCAUCAGUGUAUCAGCAGAUUGAAGCCAUUCUCAAGGGGCCGCAGUAGCCAAGUGGUUAGCGUGAGAGAAUCUCGGCUCGUAGAUCCCGCGAUCGUGGGUUCGAUUCCCGUCUCCUCUGGCCUUUUUCUCACGCUACCCUUCCCCCCAAAACGAAUACGCAUAAUAACAUUGUCAUUGGCUAAUAUGCUCAGAACAUAAAGCCAUUAAAAAGAAUAGGAAAAAAAGCCAUUCUCAACAGGAACAUUAACAUCUCUUGUUUCACAGAGAUCAUGAGAUGC